This is a small nucleolar RNA of Chanos chanos (milkfish), 139 nucleotides long. RefSeq annotates it as small nucleolar RNA SNORD10. The transcript has a single exon. Lineage: Eukaryota; Metazoa; Chordata; Actinopteri; Gonorynchiformes; Chanidae. The record is from RefSeq and is a predicted model, not a curated record.
GUUUCGUGAUGAUCCCCAUGCGUGUCAACUGACCCCAGAAUCCUCACCAGGCAUCGGUGUCCAGUGGGCGUUCUGCUUCCUGGUACACUAGCGCCUGUCGAGCUCUGGGGCAAUGAUCAGAGAUUUAAUGGCUGAAAAC